CAAAGCACUAAGAUCUUUUGAUUAAAACUUAAAGAGCAUGGCGGUCACAAAAAAGUUCAGGGGAACUUACCAAGUAAUAGACAACCCACAAGUCACCCUUCUUAAUUUUACAGUUUGUAUACCGCCGUCUAAGUACUGCUUAUGGUAGUGCUAAAAUAAAAACUAGAAGGACAGGCCAUGGUGCAGCUAAUAAUUAAGUUUUAGGCGAGUUACAAUAAAUCCUUUUUUUUCCAGAAACUUGUAAAGUUUUAAUGAAGUGGACUUGAAAGUAAAAUUUAAAAGAAAUACAAUUUGAAUUUAUUAUUUUGUGGUGC
Molecule: ribosomal RNA, 314 nt
Filed under: Paromoionchis boholensis
Lineage: Eukaryota; Metazoa; Mollusca; Gastropoda; Systellommatophora; Onchidiidae
Description: partial 12S ribosomal RNA
Source: RNAcentral